RNAcentral lists this transfer RNA (81 nucleotides) under Boldia erythrosiphon. Its description in RNAcentral is "tRNA-Leu". It matches the Rfam family "tRNA". From Rfam's summary of the family: Transfer RNA (tRNA) molecules are approximately 80 nucleotides in length. Their secondary structure includes four short double-helical elements and three loops (D, anti-codon, and T loops). Lineage: Eukaryota; Rhodophyta; Compsopogonophyceae; Compsopogonales; Boldiaceae. The record is from RNAcentral.
GAGUAGAUGGCGAAAUUGGUAUACGCACCACAUUCAAAAUGUGGCGAUUAAUUCUUGAGGGUUCAAGUCCCUCUCUACUCA